Molecule: transfer RNA, 74 nt
Filed under: Corallococcus sp. CAG:1435
Lineage: Bacteria; Pseudomonadati; Myxococcota; Myxococcia; Myxococcales; Myxococcaceae
Also listed under: 3 other names
Description: transfer RNA-Cys(GCA)
Rfam family: tRNA
About the family: Transfer RNA (tRNA) molecules are approximately 80 nucleotides in length. Their secondary structure includes four short double-helical elements and three loops (D, anti-codon, and T loops). Further hydrogen bonds mediate the characteristic L-shaped molecular structure. tRNAs have two regions of fundamental functional importance: the anti-codon, which is responsible for specific mRNA codon recognition, and the 3' end, to which the tRNAs corresponding amino acid is attached (by aminoacyl-tRNA synthetases). tRNAs cope with the degeneracy of the genetic code in two manners: having more than one tRNA (with a specific anti-codon) for a particular amino acid; and 'wobble' base-pairing, i.e. permitting non-standard base-pairing at the 3rd anti-codon position.
Source: RNAcentral
GGCACCAUAGCCAAGUGGUAAGGCAGAGCUCUGCAAAAGCUUCACCCCCAGUCCGAAUCUGGGUGGUGCCUCCA